RNAcentral lists this ribosomal RNA (642 nucleotides) under uncultured marine eukaryote. Its description in RNAcentral is "SSU rRNA". It matches the Rfam family "Eukaryotic small subunit ribosomal RNA", at positions 613 to 1259 of the family's 1831-position model. The record is from RNAcentral.
UUGCGGUUAAAAAGCUCGUAGUUGGAUUUCUGUCGAGGAUGGCCGGUCCGCACUUUGUGCGUGCAUCUGGUUCAGCCUUGGCAUCCUCCUGGGGAACGUAUCUGCGCUUAAUUGCGUGGUGCGGUAUCCAGGACUUUUACUUUGAGGAAAUUAGAGUGUUCACGGCAGGCAAACGCCUUGAAUACAUUAGCAUGGAAUAAUAAUAUAGGACCUUGGUCCCAUUUUGUUGGUUUCUGGAACUGAGGUAAUGAUUAAUAGGGAUAAUUGGGGGCAUUCGUAUUAACGUGUCAGAGGUGGAAUUCUUGGAUUACGUUACGACGAACUACUGCGAAAGCAUUUGCCAAGGAUGUUUUCAUUGAUCAAGAACGAAAGUUCGGGGAUCGAAGAUGAUUAGAUACCAUCGUAGUCCGAACCAUAAACUAUGCCAACUAGAGAUGGGCGAUCGUUAUUUUAUUGACUUCGUCCGCACCUUAUGAGAAAUCAAAGUCUUUGGGUUCCGGGGGGAGUAUGGUCGCAAGGCUGAAACUUAAAGGAAUUGACGGAAGGGCACCACCAGGAGUGGAGCCUGCGGCUUAAUUUGACUCAACACGGGAACACUCACCAGGUCCAGACAUAGUAAGGAUUGACAGAUUGAUAGCUCUU